UCCGAAUCCCCUCGGAAGGCUCCCUUCCCAGCAGAAAGGUGGACAAGCAAGGCUCUCAGUCAUUACCAUUCUCUGUGGAGAGGUACCGCACGUUUGUCACACCAUUUCUCAUGCAGCGAUGGACAUGCAUUUUACUCCAUCUUUCUUUUGUUUGUACUAAAGCUUUUUCUUCACAAUCUGUUUUCAAAUCUGUUCAUGUUUUGAAUUUACAAUUGUAGAAUUUGAGUUGGGGGAAAAGAAAAAGAAGCAAAGGUCAUAUUGAUUUUCUUUUAAAAAGAAGAGAAAGAAAUAGCCUAUUCCUUGAUAAAAAUGAGGAAAGUGGAUAAGUAUGAAAUAUAUACAUCUCCACUGGGAAUUUCUAGUAAUUUUCAUGUUAGCUGACUGUGUCAUUCUACCAAAUGGAACUUGCUGAAAUCAUAUAGUUCUUUAAUUAUAAAAUCGAUUUGGGAAAAGAAAAAAGUACUUUAAUUUCUGUUGCUUCAAGGGAUUGUCCAUUCAGAAUAUUUUUCUGGCCACUAUAAAUUGUAUUAGAAACUAAGCUGUAAGAAAUAAAGAUA
RNAcentral lists this long non-coding RNA (557 nucleotides) under Homo sapiens (human). Its description in RNAcentral is "HSALNT0053451". Lineage: Eukaryota; Metazoa; Chordata; Mammalia; Primates; Hominidae. The record is from RNAcentral.